RNAcentral lists this transfer RNA (69 nucleotides) under Urocitellus parryii (Arctic ground squirrel). Its description in RNAcentral is "Spermophilus parryii (Arctic ground squirrel) tRNA". It matches the Rfam family "tRNA". From Rfam's summary of the family: Transfer RNA (tRNA) molecules are approximately 80 nucleotides in length. Their secondary structure includes four short double-helical elements and three loops (D, anti-codon, and T loops). The record is from Rfam by way of RNAcentral. Lineage: Eukaryota; Metazoa; Chordata; Mammalia; Rodentia; Sciuridae. RNAcentral also lists the same sequence under 1 other name.
GGUGUUGUAGCUCAGGGAAAGAGCACUUGCCUAGCAUGUAUGAGGCACUGGAUUCAAUCCUUAGCACCA